AGGCAAAGGGAUGGCCCAAGGGAGGAGAUGGCCCAGGGGAUGUUAUCCAGGGAAAGAGGUUUUCCAGGGCAGGAAAAGUGCUGCCCCUGUCGGUGCCACGAGCACGUGUGGGGUCCCCCUGCCACCGCAGCGCAGCCUGGGGCCAGAGGCUUUGGGAGGCCAGGCCACAUGGCAGACGGGGAGCUGGAAGAGGCUGCCUGCGAUGGCCAGAGCAAGCGACUCGUGACGUGCAACCUGGACACAGAGAAGCAGCCUGGGCUUGUGGGAUCCUGGACAAAGGAGCACUGUGACCASGUGUUGGACUCCAUUGAUGCCCAGCUCAGCCAGUGGCAGGGCCAUGGUGUGCAAGUCAUGGGCAGCAGCAAAGACCAUGACAUCUCUUCUGACACUUCCCUCAAUGUCUCUUYGCUGGCUGAACCGGAAGAACACCCUACGGCCAAGGCUGAAUACCUCCAGGGUGAAGCCAGUCAAAGCAGCUCCAGCUCUGUCUGCACGGAGGACUUUGCUGCCAGGUUUCAGGAGGGUAUGGUUGAGCCUCUGGUGUUCUCCGAGGAUGAGGAAGACGAGCCCUUCUCAGUGGGGAGCAGGCAUGCCAGGGAUGUCCCAGCAGAAGGCAAUGGCAUCUCUUGCCCUGCUGAGGAUCAUGAUGCUGGGCAGGAUGAGUCCUUGCUCUCUACAGGGAGAAGACAGGAUGUCCCAUGGCAGUCGGAGGUGGAGCUGGGCUGUCCAUUGCAGAGCACAUCUCCAUCUCUGACGAGAAGGCAAAGCCUGGAGUCUCUGGGAGGGAGGAUAUCCAGACUGAGCCAGAGCAAUGCUGUGACUGCAGGGAUGGAGCCAGACAGCUUCCCAGCGUGGUGGGCUCCCAUGCCAGCCCCCUCUGAGCAGGGAUGGACUCUGCAUGGAGCUAAUGUGAGAGAGUGUUCAACAAGGAGACGUGCAGGAGUCCCUGUGCCUCGAGCCUCGGUCUCUGCAGACAGCAGUUUGCCAGGGGAUGGUGGUGCUGGGACCAGAUGGCAUCACAUGAGCAGGCCUGUGGGGUCAAGACAGCAGGAGCCACCAGCUCUCCGGAGACAGUCUGAAGGGGACAUUGCCCUUGCUGUGGCUGACAUGGACAUGGAAGAAGCUGGUGACAAGCUGAGGAGAGCUCAGUCCUGGGCCCAUUGUACCAAUACAGCAGCAAGACUCCCCAGGGUGUGCAGCGACGACUCCUUUGGGGACCGGGGCCCCAUGGACACCUACAAAGAGCCAUCGUCCUGUGGGGGCAGCCGCUGGAGGAGCAGCAGUGCGGAGAGGUGGACCUGGAGCCCAGGCAAAGUGGCCAAGCCCUGGUGGGAACAUGGGAGGCUGAAAGCCAGCCUAGACCAGAAGCACACAGGCAAGGAGCCAGCGUCACUGUGUUGGUCUCUGCAGAGGAACUGGAAGGGGGUUCAAGAGCUGGGGUCCUGUGCAAAGAAGAUGCAGAGCAAAGGAGACAAAGCCAGGACUGGCCCAGCACUCCUGGAACACACAGAUGAUGCCUGCUGGCAGGAGCUGAUGGAGCUGGAGAAGGAGGUCCAGAGCCGGCUCCUGGAAGACAGACUUUGGGAGCAGAAAAGAAGGGAAUUAUCCAGUCUCAGCAGGGGCUUCUGGGGGAGCAGAGCCAGGGAGCCUGUGCAGACUGCCAGGAGGGGCUGGAGAAGCAGCUAUGGAAAAUGUCAGCUUUACAGGAAGAGAAACUGGCAUUACAGAAGAGACUCCAUGAGCUGGAGCAUCGUACCCGCUCCCUCCUGCAGCAGCGGCAGGAAGCCCUGGAUGAGCUGCACAUGUUGCUGCAGAAGGAGAAGAUGGACAUGCUUCGGCAGCUCCAGGAAGCCCUGGAGCAGGAACGGGCUCGCUACAGCACCUGGCUGCGAGUGCGUCUGCAGCGUCUGGAGCAGCAGCACCUUCUGUGGGCUCCACAUAGGGAAACUUCCUUGCAGAAGCCAGUGGUGCCAGGCCAGGCUGGGCGCUCCCUGGCAAGGCCUAUCAGCUUGGCAUGCCAGCRCCUCCAUGACUUUCUUCCUGACAACUCCAUGGGGCAGAACCCUUCAGCAGCAGUGUGUGGCUCAUCUCCACUCUCCCCCAGCCACGCGCUUGGAGUCCUGCAUGGCCUCAGUGAGGAAAUACAGCAUCACCUCAGAGACAUGCAGAGGGAGAGGGAGGCCGGGAGGUGCUCUGUCCUCCACCUUCAGAGAGAGAAGGAGCAUGAGCUGA
Molecule: long non-coding RNA, 2232 nt
Organism: Dromaius novaehollandiae (emu)
Lineage: Eukaryota; Metazoa; Chordata; Aves; Casuariiformes; Dromaiidae
Source: Ensembl